RNAcentral lists this ribosomal RNA (506 nucleotides) under uncultured bacterium. Its description in RNAcentral is "partial 16S ribosomal RNA". It matches the Rfam family "Bacterial small subunit ribosomal RNA", at positions 29 to 523 of the family's 1533-position model. The record is from RNAcentral.
AGUGAACGCUGGCGGUAGGCCUAACACAUGCAAGUCGAACGGCAGCACAGGAGAGCUUGCUCUCUGGGUGGCGAGUGGCGGACGGGUGAGGAAUACAUCGGAAUCUACUCUGUCGUGGGGGAUAACGUAGGGAAACUUACGCUAAUACCGCAUACGACCUACGGGUGAAAGCAGGGGACCUUCGGGCCUUGCGCGAUUGAAUGAGCCGAUGUCGGAUUAGCUAGUUGGCGGGGUAAAGGCCCACCAAGGCGACGAUCCGUAGCUGGUCUGAGAGGAUGAUCAGCCACACUGGAACUGAGACACGGUCCAGACUCCGACGGGAGGCAGCAGUGGGGAAUAGUGGACAAUGGGCGCAAGCCUGAUCCAGCCAUACCGCGUGGGUGAAGAAGGCCUUCGGGUUGUAAAGCCCUUUUGUUGGGAAAGAAAUCCAGCUGGCUAACACCCGGUUGGGAUGACGGUACCCAAAGAAUAAGCACCGGCUAACUUCGUGCCAGCCGCCGCAGUAA